GACGAACGCUGGCGGCGUGCUUAACACAUGCAAGUCGAACGGAAAGGCCCUGCUUUUGUGGGGUGCUCGAGUGGCGAACGGGUGAGUAACACGUGAGUAACCUGCCCUUGACUUUGGGAUAACUUCAGGAAACUGGGGCUAAUACCGGAUAAGAGCUCCUGCUGCAUGGUGGGGGUUGGAAAGUUUCGGCGGUUGGGGAUGGACUCGCGGCUUAUCAGCUUGUUGGUGGGGUAGUGGCUUACCAAGGCUUUGACGGGUAGCCGGCCUGAGAGGGUGACCGGCCACAUUGGGACUGAGAUACGGCCCAGACUCCUACGGGAGGCAGCAGUGGGGAAUAUUGCACAAUGGGCGGAAGCCUGAUGCAGCAACGCCGCGUGCGGGAUGACGGCCUUCGGGUUGUAAACCGCUUUCGCCUGUGACGAAGCGUGAGUGACGGUAAUGGGUAAAGAAGCACCGGCUAACUACGU
RNAcentral lists this ribosomal RNA (467 nucleotides) under uncultured bacterium. RNAcentral's name for it is "partial 16S ribosomal RNA". It matches the Rfam family "Bacterial small subunit ribosomal RNA", at positions 28 to 506 of the family's 1533-position model. The record is from RNAcentral.